CACGCUUAACACAUGCAAGUCGAACGGAGAAUAUUUGGUUUACUAAGUAUUCUUAGUGGCGGACGGGUGAGUAACACGUGAGCAACCUGCCUUUGAGAGGGGGAUAGCUUCUGGAAACGGAUGGUAAUACCCUAUAACAUAACGAAGCCGCAUGACUUUGUUAUCAAAGAUUUAUCACUCAAAGAUGGGCUCGCGUCUGAUUAGAUAGUUGGUGAGGUAACGGCUCACCAAGUCGACGAUCAGUAGCCGGACUGAGAGGUUGAACGGCCACAUUGGGACUGAGACACGGCCCAGACUCCUACGGGAGGCAGCAGUGGGGAAUAUUGCACAAUGGGGGAAACCCUGAUGCAGCGAUGCCGCGUGGAGGAAGAAGGUUUUCGGAUUGUAAACUCCUGUCUUAAAGGACGAUAAUGACGGUACUUUAGGAGGAAGCUCCGGCUA
This 441-nucleotide ribosomal RNA is filed under the name uncultured Ruminococcus sp. RNAcentral describes it as "bacterial SSU rRNA". It matches the Rfam family "Bacterial small subunit ribosomal RNA", at positions 43 to 499 of the family's 1533-position model. Lineage: Bacteria; Bacillati; Bacillota; Clostridia; Eubacteriales; Oscillospiraceae. The record is from RNAcentral.